This 72-nucleotide transfer RNA is filed under the name Camelus bactrianus (Bactrian camel). It matches the Rfam family "tRNA". Rfam says of the family: Transfer RNA (tRNA) molecules are approximately 80 nucleotides in length. Their secondary structure includes four short double-helical elements and three loops (D, anti-codon, and T loops). Further hydrogen bonds mediate the characteristic L-shaped molecular structure. tRNAs have two regions of fundamental functional importance: the anti-codon, which is responsible for specific mRNA codon recognition, and the 3' end, to which the tRNAs corresponding amino acid is attached (by aminoacyl-tRNA synthetases). tRNAs cope with the degeneracy of the genetic code in two manners: having more than one tRNA (with a specific anti-codon) for a particular amino acid; and 'wobble' base-pairing, i.e. permitting non-standard base-pairing at the 3rd anti-codon position. The record is from Rfam by way of RNAcentral. RNAcentral also lists the same sequence under 1 other name. Lineage: Eukaryota; Metazoa; Chordata; Mammalia; Artiodactyla; Camelidae.
GAGGGUAUAGCUCAAAGGUAGAGUGCAUGCUUAGCAUGCAUGAGGUCCUGGGUUCAAUCCCCUGUAGCCCCA